UCUUCAUUUCACUUACUCUCUCGCCACUCUGAUCGGUGAGAGAGUGUGUGAAAUGAUGAGA
RNAcentral lists this microRNA precursor (61 nucleotides) under Pristionchus pacificus. Its description in RNAcentral is "mir-8364 microRNA precursor family". It matches the Rfam family "mir-8364 microRNA precursor family". Lineage: Eukaryota; Metazoa; Nematoda; Chromadorea; Rhabditida; Neodiplogasteridae. The record is from Rfam by way of RNAcentral.